Odocoileus virginianus texanus is the source of this 380-nucleotide non-coding RNA. Lineage: Eukaryota; Metazoa; Chordata; Mammalia; Artiodactyla; Cervidae. The record is from RefSeq and is a predicted model, not a curated record.
UCCUGGACAUUGGGACUGAGAUAAGAAUUCUGAGAACUGGGCUUUCAUCCAAAACCUGCACUCAAGUCAGGAUACUUGGCAACAUUUGAUUGGAUCAUCAAGGGGAGAAGGAUUUGAGUUACAUCAUUUUGGUGAUUACAAAGCAGACAGACUGUGGGAAAUUCCAGGAUAGAUUCGUCUGAUUAGCAGAGGACACUUUCGUCAAGCAGCAAAACGGAGACCCAGUCCCUUCCUUCCUGAGCUUCUGUCACAUUCACCACACCCAACCAAUGGAAGGAGAAAUAGCAUAAAAGACGGUUUUGCAUGAAGGACUUUAUGGGCCAGUCUUGCAAUGAUACAUGUCACUUCCAUUUACAUCUAGUAUGUUGAACUUUGGCCAC